RNAcentral lists this ribosomal RNA (789 nucleotides) under Lophiotrema rubi. Its description in RNAcentral is "partial 28S ribosomal RNA". It matches the Rfam family "Eukaryotic large subunit ribosomal RNA", at positions 74 to 882 of the family's 3401-position model. The record is from RNAcentral. Lineage: Eukaryota; Fungi; Ascomycota; Dothideomycetes; Pleosporales; Lophiotremataceae.
AUUGCCCUAGUAACGGCGAGUGAAGCGGCAACAGCUCAAAUUUGAAAUCUGGCCCUUUCAGGGUCCGAGUUGUAAUUUGUAGAGGGUGCUUUGGCGUCGGCUGCGGUCUAAGUUCCUUGGAACAGGACGUCACAGAGGGUGAGAAUCCCGUACGUGGCUGCUAGUCUUCGCCGUGUAAAGCCCCUUCGACGAGUCGAGUUGUUUGGGAAUGCAGCUCUAAAUGGGAGGUAAAUUUCUUCUAAAGCUAAAUAUUGGCCAGAGACCGAUAGCGCACAAGUAGAGUGAUCGAAAGAUGAAAAGCACUUUGGAAAGAGAGUCAAAAAGCACGUGAAAUUGUUGAAAGGGAAGCGCUUGCAGCCAGACUUGCCUGUAGUUGCUCAUCGGGACCCCGUCCCGUGCACUCUUCUGCAGGCGGGCCAGCAUCAGUUCAGGCGGCCGGACAAAGACCUCUAUCACGUAUCUUCCUUCGGGAUGACCUUAUAGGGGAGGUGUAAUGCGGCCAGCUUGGAUUGAGGUCCGCGCAUCUGCUAGGAUGCUGGCGUAAUGGCUGUAAGCGGCCCGUCUUGAAACACGGACCAAGGAGUCUAACAUCUAUGCGAGUGUUUGGGUGUCAAGCCCGGGCGCGCAAUGAAAGUGAACGGAGGUGGGAACCCCUCGGGGCGCACCAUCGACCGAUCCUGAUGUCUUCGGAUGGAUUUGAGUAAGAGCAUAGCUGUUGGGGACCCGAAGAUGGUGAACUAUGCCUGAAUAGGGUGAAGCCAGAGGAAACUCUGGUGGAGGCUCGCAGCG